This 204-nucleotide long non-coding RNA is filed under the name Lathyrus oleraceus (garden pea). Its description in RNAcentral is "Pisum sativum (pea) long non-coding RNA (PSAT_LNC000732)". Lineage: Eukaryota; Viridiplantae; Streptophyta; Magnoliopsida; Fabales; Fabaceae. The record is from RNAcentral.
UGUGAGAGAGACGGAAGUGUCUAUUGCAUUGUAUCCUUAUUUUCUUUUUUUUAAUUUAUUUUAAACAGAAUAAGUCUUUUUGAAACUAUUAAAAUUUUUGUUUAAACUUCCUAAAUUUUAGUUAAUAAAUUUUUACACAUUCUCAAUUCAUAUUCCAUUGAAAAACCCAACAGCCAUGCGGUUGGGUUUAAUUUUAUGUUUUUC